GGACGAAUAGCUCAGUCGGUUAGAGCGUCUCGUUUACACCGAGAAGGCCGGGGGUUCGAGUCCCUCUUCGUCCACCA
This 77-nucleotide transfer RNA is filed under the name Puniceicoccales bacterium. RNAcentral describes it as "tRNA-Val". It matches the Rfam family "tRNA". Rfam says of the family: Transfer RNA (tRNA) molecules are approximately 80 nucleotides in length. The record is from RNAcentral. Lineage: Bacteria; Pseudomonadati; Verrucomicrobiota; Opitutia; Puniceicoccales.